UACGAAGGGGGCUAGCGUUGCUCGGAAUUACUGGGCGUAAAGCGCACGUAGGCGGCUUUCUAAGUCGGGGGUGAAAUCCUGGAGCUCAACUCCAGAACUGCCUUCGAUACUGGAGAGCUUGAGUCCGGGAGAGGGAUGCAGAAUUCCAGGUGUAGCGGUGAAAUGCGUAGAUAUCUGGAGGAAUACCGGUGGCGAAGGCGGCAUCCUGGACCGGCAUUGACGCUGAGGAGCGAAAGCUAGGGGAGCAAACGGG
Molecule: ribosomal RNA, 253 nt
Filed under: uncultured bacterium
Lineage: Bacteria
Description: partial 16S ribosomal RNA
Rfam family: Bacterial small subunit ribosomal RNA
Source: RNAcentral